GAUGAACGCUGGCGGUGUGCCUAAUACAUGCAAGUCGAGCGAACAGACGAGGAGCUUACUCCUCUGACGUUAGCGGCGGACGGGUGAGUAACACGUGGAUAACCUACCUAUAAGACUGGGAUAACUUCGGGAAACCGGAGCUAAUACCGGAUAACAUGUUGAACCGCAUGGUUCAACAGUGAAAGACGGUCUUGCUGUCACUUAUAGAUGGAUCCGCGUCGCAUUAGCUAGUUGGUAAGGUAACGGCUUACCAAGGCAACGAUGCGUAGCCGACCUGAGAGGGUGAUCGGCCACACUGGAACUGAGACACGGUUCAGACUCCUACGGGAGGCAGCAGUAGGGAAUCUUCCGCAAUGGGCGAAAGCCUGACGGAGCAACGCCGCGUGAGUGAAGAAGGUCUUCGGAUCGUAAAACUCUGUUAUUAGGGAAGAACAAAUGUGUAAGUAACUAUGCACGUCUUGACGGUACCUAAUCAGAAAGCCACGGCUAACUACGUG
This 497-nucleotide ribosomal RNA is filed under the name uncultured bacterium. RNAcentral's name for it is "partial 16S ribosomal RNA". It matches the Rfam family "Bacterial small subunit ribosomal RNA", at positions 28 to 507 of the family's 1533-position model. The record is from RNAcentral.